GCCGAAGUGGUGAAAUUGGUAGACACGUACGUUUCAGAGGCGUAUGAGGCAACUCAUGAGGGUUCGAGUCCCUCCUUCGGCA
This 82-nucleotide transfer RNA is filed under the name Candidatus Omnitrophota bacterium. RNAcentral describes it as "Candidatus Omnitrophica bacterium (sediment metagenome) tRNA-Leu". It matches the Rfam family "tRNA". From Rfam's summary of the family: Transfer RNA (tRNA) molecules are approximately 80 nucleotides in length. Their secondary structure includes four short double-helical elements and three loops (D, anti-codon, and T loops). The record is from RNAcentral. Lineage: Bacteria; Pseudomonadati; Candidatus Omnitrophota.